RNAcentral lists this ribosomal RNA (460 nucleotides) under uncultured bacterium. Its description in RNAcentral is "partial 16S ribosomal RNA". It matches the Rfam family "Bacterial small subunit ribosomal RNA", at positions 338 to 795 of the family's 1533-position model. The record is from RNAcentral.
CCUACGGGUGGCAGCAGUGAGGAAUCUUCCUCAAUGGACGAGAGUCUGAUCCAGCCACGCCGCGUGAAGGAUGAAUGCCCUCUGAGUUGUAAACUUCUUUUAUAUAGGAGUAAAACGUUCCAAGUGUGGGAUUAUGUAUGUACCAUAUGAAUAAGGAUCGCCGAACUUCGUGCCAGCAGCCGAGGUAAUACGGAGGAUCCGAGCGUUAUCCGGAUUGAUUGGGUUUAAAGGGAGCGUAGGUGGAUUGUUCAGUCAGUUGUGAAAGUUUGCGGCUCAACCGGACAAUUGCAGUUGAAACUGGCAGUCUUGAGUACAGUAGAGGUGAGUGGAAUUCGAGGUGUAGCGGUGAAAUGCGUAGAUAUCACGAAGAACGCCGAUGGCGAAGGCAGUUCACUGGACUGCAACUGACACUGAGGCUCGAAAGUGUGGGUAUCAAACAGGAUUAGAUACCCGGGUAGUC